Molecule: ribosomal RNA, 122 nt
Filed under: Thermoplasmatales archaeon SW_10_69_26
Lineage: Archaea; Methanobacteriati; Thermoplasmatota; Thermoplasmata; Thermoplasmatales
Source: RNAcentral
CACGACGGCCAUAGCGGGGGGUUGACACCCGGUCCCAUUCCGAACCCGGAAGUUAAGUCCUCCUGCGUUCCGCGCGGUACUGAGGUGCUAGCGCCCUCGGGAGUUGUGGUUCGCUGUCGGUC